RNAcentral lists this ribosomal RNA (465 nucleotides) under uncultured bacterium. RNAcentral describes it as "partial 16S ribosomal RNA". It matches the Rfam family "Bacterial small subunit ribosomal RNA", at positions 28 to 507 of the family's 1533-position model. The record is from RNAcentral.
GACGAACGCUGGCGGCGUGCUUAACACAUGCAAGUCGAACGGAAAGGCCCUGCUUGCAGGGUACUCGAGUGGCGAACGGGUGAGUAACACGUGGGUGAUCUGCCCUGCACUUCGGGAUAAGCCUGGGAAACUGGGCCUAAUACCGGAUAGGAGCCAUUUUUAGUGUGAUGGUUGGAAAGUCUUUUCGGUGUAGGAUGAGCUCGCGGCCUAUCAGCUUGUUGGUGGGGUAAUGGCCUACCAAGGCGGCGACGGGUAGCCGGCCUGAGAGGGUGGACGGCCACAUUGGGACUGAGAUACGGCCCAGACUCCUACGGGAGGCAGCAGUGGGGAAUAUUGCACAAUGGGCGCAAGCCUGAUGCAGCGACGCCGCGUGGGGGAUGACGGCCUUCGGGUUGUAAACUCCUUUCGCUAGGGACGAAGCUUUUUGUGACGGUACCUAGAUAAGAAGCACCGGCUAACUACGUG